GAUGAACGCUAGCGGCGGGCCUAAUACAUGCAAGUCGAGGGGUAGAAGAGGCUUGCUUCUUUGAGACCGGCGCACGGGUGCGUAACGCGUAUGCAACCUACCUUCAUCUGGGGGAUAGCCCGGAGAAGUCCGGAUUAAUACCGCAUAAAAUCACAGGAUGGCAUUAUCCAAUGAUCAAACAUUUAUGGGAUGGAGAUGGGAAUGCGUGUCAUUAGCUAGUUGGCGGGGUAACGGCCCACCAAGGCGACGAUGACUAGGGGAUCUGAGAGGAUGGCCCCCCACACUGGUACUGAGACACGGACCAGACUCCUACGGGAGGCAGCAGUAAGGAAUAUUGGUCAAUGGAGGCAACUCUGAACCAGCCAUGCCGCGUGCAGGAAGACUGCCCUAUGGGUUGUAAACUGCUUUUAUUCGGGAAUAAACCUUAUUACGUGUAAUAAGCUGAAUGUACCGAAGGAAUAAGGAUCGGCUAACUCCGUGCCAGCCGCCGCCGUAA
This 496-nucleotide ribosomal RNA is filed under the name uncultured bacterium. Its description in RNAcentral is "partial 16S ribosomal RNA". It matches the Rfam family "Bacterial small subunit ribosomal RNA", at positions 28 to 523 of the family's 1533-position model. The record is from RNAcentral.